Malus domestica (apple) is the source of this 2938-nucleotide non-coding RNA. The record is from RefSeq and is a predicted model, not a curated record. NCBI's taxonomy places the organism in Eukaryota, Viridiplantae, Streptophyta, Magnoliopsida, Rosales, Rosaceae.
UAGGCAUGGAAAUGGUCCGCGACUUUCUCCCUUUUCGCCAGCCCCUCUUUUGCUCUCAAAUCCUUGCUCUUUCUUUUGCAAAAUAGUCUCAGAAGAGAUCCUGGGUUUAUCGAAUCCUUUGUUGUUCGGCGUUUUGUUCUCAUCUUGUGAUCGUCGGGUCAGCAGCUUUAAGGUAAGUUUGUUUUUAAUGAUUUAUCCUCAUUUUACGAUGUCUGGGCUAACAAAUUUAAGAUCUUUAUUUUUCUUUUUGCUGCGGAUCUGCAGGUUUUGACAAGUUUUUUGUGAAAUUGGUGCUGUCAGUGGGUGUUAACAUCAGGUACCCAUGUUCAGUUUUUCGUUUUGAUUUGAAGGAAUUUCUUGCGCAGAAGUGCUAGGGUUUCUUGGUGAGUUCUUCGGGUUGUGCAUAUGGGAGCUGCAGCAAUCUGUUUUAUCCUACACGGGACAACGAGGCAAUGGCGUGACAACAGGUGAGCUUGGAUAUCCAAAGAAAGAGAACAGUUGGUUCAUCUGCUGGAGUCUGAAGCUCAGAGAAGUGGAGGAAAAUUGCAGGUGUGCGAGAAAUUUUAUUUUGCUGAUAGGACUCCUUAUUUACGGAUGCAUUUUGAAAUAAUUGAAAAGUUGGAUUUGAGUUAACAGCUAUAAAAAUGUAGACAUGAUUGCUGAGAUUAUGCUAUGAAAGUGGAAUAAAAAAAUGGUAGUUUAUAAUAUUGCGUACCAAUUUUUUUCUCUCUUUUUUACCAAAUGAUAAGGGUGGUGGCUCAGGCCGCCCCCCCUACGCGUCCCCACUCUUCGACAAGUUGAAAUCAUGGUGAUAGUUUAUGGGCUGUGGUCUUGGGAUUCUGCAAAUAGAUUAAAAAACAGACACUUAACUAUCUUGUUAUUAAACAUUUCUGCAUCAUUCAGUUGCUCUUGAUUUUCGUCUUUUAAGCGAUCUUAUUUCUGCGAUCUGACUUGAGGAGGGUUUUUAGACCUAUGGUUGUGGGUGUUUUGUCUGACCCCAUUAAAUUGGUUUCCGAGAUUUGUAGACUUGCGAUCGGCAGUCAAACAUUUUGUGAUUCUUGCUUUUUUUCCGACUGGGAUUGACGAAUUUUGGCCGAAUCUGUUUCCUGUUUUCUUCUCUGUUUGAGCGGCCGCUGCCUUUCGGUCGUUGAGCGCCGGCAGUCUUUAGAUCUUUGGCAAAUCAAUUUAAUACAACCGAGUUGUGGUCCUCUGUUAGGAUUUUCCUGGCUAAGAGGGUAUUUGCGUUUUUGUUGCUUGGUUGGUCGAUCACAGAUUUACGAACAGCUGUGGUGGUCCUGUUAUUUUUUUGGUUGUGUUUGUGCUGGGACAACAUUUUCCACCUUCUGUUUGCACUGGGAUGAUUGCGUUUUAAAACUGUUGGGUUGAUGGAAAACAGAGCUCUUACUCCUAUCAAUCAGUUGGUCCCGUACAUAAAUGCAGAAAAAUCAAGGUUCGAGUUUGCAGAGUAUGCAGACCAAGGUUUCCUGAAACUACUGGUGCUGUCACGCCCCAAUCCCGACCUAUGUCCAGGAUCGACACGUGACGUUAACAAAUACCCAUAUCUCUAACAUACCCCGCCUCCGGAAUAUGGGCAAAGCACAACUGCGUAAUAAUUUUUCGUAUACUUUAUGGCUGCAUCUAACAUCCUCGUUAGAUUAUCAUACCUUAUGGCUACAUCUAACAUCCUUGUUAGACUGCCUACGUACUCUCAAAAGGGAUCAAACCAUUCGUAGUUCACCACACUCCAAUCCACAAAAAUUUGCACAUGCACUGAUUAUAAAAUGGAACUGCACCUAUAGAAACCUAAUCAUAACCCGUGGGCGAUUUGCUCCCACAUAAGAAAGACGUCCACAGUACCAUGAAAUACUUCCACAUCUUUCCUUCCCAUUUACACAAUAUUUUAUUUCACCUCCCUGAUAAAUAUAGCAUUUACAUUACAUGUGGCAGACAAAUUUGCAUAUUCAACUAUAAUAAAAUACAAUCUUAGUAGGAAAAACCUACAAGACCACCACUCGUUUGAGCCAAACUUUAGCUUAGCACUCAACUGGUGCUCACACCAUGUGAGUGCACGAUCCUUUAAGAUGGAUGCGAUGGUUCUCUUUUGAGAUUAAUUUUGUUACAGGUAUAACAUAGUUGGCAACCGUUUAGAAAUAGAUGCCUCAUGUUCAAAACUCUCAUUACCAAAUGUUCUAACAAGUUAGUAGAGAAGGUAAAAGAACCCAAAUGGCGAGAAAUAGUGUCCUGAUGAAACAAAAGAUGUAACCCUCAUUCAAGCACGAACAUCAUUUCCUUGAGAAUCUGCGAUUUCUUCCCUCAUUUGGUCAAUAUAGCUUGUAUUCCAACUGCAACUUACUAAUAGCAUUUGUUCUCUCCUCGAAUGAAACCAUAACCAGCCAUUUUAAAUAAAGCUGAACAGUUUCACGUUGGGAAAAUAAAGAUUAUAACAUACAGGUUUUGGAUUAGAUUCCCAAACCAACAGAAAAUUAAGAUAGGAAUCUAUUUUGGGUUAACUGAGGUAUGAGUGGUAUACAAAUGAGAAAUUCCCUACAAAAGUCAAUAAAACCAGUUACAUAACAUGUUGAAUAUAAUACAACAUGAAAUAAGAAGCACCACUUGUUUAUCUGACUUUUUAUACAUGUAUUUUCCUAAGGGAUAAAAACGUGCGGGUUUUGGGAUCAAUCUGAAGAGGGCUUCACCACGAAUACAUAGCCUUUGACCGUGCAUGAUUUCGUUGCCGUAUGAGAAAGUUAUCAUUUUUUUUUUUUGUGAAGAAGAAUUAAGGGGGAGAAGAACAGCUGCCCCCUCUGUUUCUGCAUCUGCCCAGCGGGGAAAGAAAAAGAAGAGAAGCCCUUGGCUUCUAGAAUACUCCCUCCCCAAAAUUACAAUUUUGCUCUCUAACUUUGAUUGUUUAUAUCUUAUUCGUUAUAACUCUGUUUCA